GGGGCCUUGGUUCAUCAGGAAGAACGCCUGCUUUGCAAGCAGGAGAUGGCCGGUUCGAGUCCGGCAGGCUCCA
RNAcentral lists this transfer RNA (73 nucleotides) under Acidimicrobiia bacterium. Its description in RNAcentral is "tRNA-Ala". It matches the Rfam family "tRNA". Rfam says of the family: Transfer RNA (tRNA) molecules are approximately 80 nucleotides in length. Their secondary structure includes four short double-helical elements and three loops (D, anti-codon, and T loops). The record is from RNAcentral. Lineage: Bacteria; Bacillati; Actinomycetota; Acidimicrobiia.